RNAcentral lists this ribosomal RNA (427 nucleotides) under uncultured bacterium. RNAcentral's name for it is "partial 16S ribosomal RNA". It matches the Rfam family "Bacterial small subunit ribosomal RNA", at positions 355 to 774 of the family's 1533-position model. The record is from RNAcentral.
UGGGGAAUAUUGGACAAUGGGCGAAAGCCUGAUCCAGCCAUGCCGCGUGUGUGAAGAAGGUCUUCGGAUUGUAAAGCACUUUAAGUUGGGAGGAAGGGCAGUAAGCUAAUACCUUGCUGUUUUGACGUUACCGACAGAAUAAGCACCGGCUAACUCUGUGCCAGCAGCCGCGGUAAUACAGAGGGUGCAAGCGUUAAUCGGAAUUACUGGGCGUAAAGCGCGCGUAGGUGGUUUGUUAAGUUGGAUGUGAAAGCCCCGGGCUCAACCUGGGAACUGCAUCCAAAACUGGCAAGCUAGAGUACGGUAGAGGGUGGUGGAAUUUCCUGUGUAGCGGUGAAAUGCGUAGAUAUAGGAAGGAACACCAGUGGCGAAGGCGACCACCUGGACUAAUACUGACACUGAGGUGCGAAAGCGUGGGGAGCAAACA